RNAcentral lists this ribosomal RNA (1345 nucleotides) under metagenome. RNAcentral's name for it is "SSU rRNA". It matches the Rfam family "Eukaryotic small subunit ribosomal RNA", at positions 3 to 1363 of the family's 1831-position model. The record is from RNAcentral.
CCUGGUUGAUUCUGCCAGUAGUCAUAUGCUUGUCUCAAAGAUUAAGCCAUGCGUGUCUAAGUAUAAGCAAUCAUACUGUGAAACUGCGAAUGGCUCAUUAAAUCAGUUAUCGUUUAUUUGAUAGUACCUUUACCUGGAUAACCGUGGUAAUUCUAGAGCUAAUACAUGCUAAAAACCCCGACUUCGGAAGGGGUGUAUUUAUUAGAUAAAACCAAUGCCCUCUGGGCUCUUUGGUGAUUCAUAAUAACUUAACGAAUCGCAUGGCCUUGCGCCGGCGAUGGUUCAUUCAAAUUUCUGCCCUAUCAACUUUCGAUUGUAAGAUAGAGGCUUACAAUGGUAUUAACGGGUAACGGGGUAUUAGGGUUCUAUUCCGGAGAGGGAGCCUGAGAAACGGCUACCACAUCCAAGGAAGGCAGCAGGCGCGCAAAUUACCCAAUGCUAAUUCAGCGAGGUAGUGACAAUAAAUACUGAUACGGGGCUCUUUCGGGUCUCGUAAUUGGAAUGAGUACAAUCUAAAUCCCUUAACGAGGAACAAUUGGAGGGCAAGUCUGGUGCCAGCAGCCGCGGUAAUUCCAGCUCCAAUAGCGUAUAUUAAAGUUGUUGCCGUUAAAAAGCUCGUAGUUGAACCUUGGACCUGGCUGAUCUGUCCUCCUAAUCGAGCGCACGGAUUCGGUCGGGUCUUUCCUUCUGGGGAGCCCUAUGCCCUUCACUGGGUGUAGUGGGGAACCAGGACUUUUACCUUGAAAAAAUUAGAGUGUUCAAAGCAGGCCUUUGCUCGAAUACAUUAGCAUGGAAUAAUAGAAUAGGACAUCGGUUCUAUUUUGUUGGUUUCUAGGACCGCUGUAAUGAUUAAUAGGGAUAGUCGGGGGCGUCAGUAUUCAAUUGUCAGAGGUGAAAUUCUUGGAUUUAUUGAAGACUAACUACUGCGAAAGCAUUCGCCAAGGAUGUUUUCAUUAAUCAGUGAACGAAAGUUAGGGGAUCGAAGACGAUCAGAUACCGUCGUAGUCUUAACCAUAAACUAUGCCGGCUAGGGAUCGGACGGUGGUUUUUUUAUGCCCCGUUCGGCACCUUACGAGAAAUCAAAGUUUUUGGGCUCGGGGGGGAGUAUGGUCGCAAGGCUGAAACUUAAAGAAAUUGACGGUAGGGCACCACCAGGCGUGGAGCCUGCGGCUUAAUUUGACCCAACACGGGGAAACUCACCAGGUCCAGACAUGCUUAGGAUUGACAGAUUGAUAGCUCUUUCUUGAUUGUAUGGGUGGUGGUGCAUGGCCGUUCUUAGUUGGUGGAGUGAUUUGUCUGCUUAAUUGCGAUAACGAACGAGACCUUGACCUGCUAAAUAGCCAGG